Molecule: microRNA precursor, 101 nt
Filed under: Choloepus hoffmanni (Hoffmann's two-fingered sloth)
Lineage: Eukaryota; Metazoa; Chordata; Mammalia; Pilosa; Megalonychidae
Description: miRNA (ENSCHOG00000015340.1)
Source: RNAcentral
UAGUAGAUUUACAGGCAUAGUCUCCAGAAAGGCAUAGUCGCUAGAGUUAGGGUGGGGCCCAGGAAUCUGCAUUUUCAACAAGACCAUCUAUGGAUUCUGAU